GACGAGGGGUCCUAGCGUUGUCCGGAAUCAUUGGGCGUAAAGAGCGUGUAGGCGGCCACUUAAGUCCUGCGUGAAAUCUUGCGGCUCAACCGCAAGCGGUCGUGGGAAACUGGGUGGCUAGAGUGCGGGAGAGGAGAGUGGAAUUCCUGGUGUAGCGGUGGAAUGCGCAGAUAUCAGGAAGAACACCCGUGGCGAAGGCGGCUCUCUGGAACGCAACUGACGCUGAGACGCGAAAGCGUGGGGAGCAAACAGG
Molecule: ribosomal RNA, 253 nt
Filed under: uncultured bacterium
Lineage: Bacteria
Description: partial 16S ribosomal RNA
Rfam family: Bacterial small subunit ribosomal RNA
Source: RNAcentral